RNAcentral lists this unclassified non-coding RNA (373 nucleotides) under Hevea brasiliensis (rubber tree). The record is from RNAcentral. Lineage: Eukaryota; Viridiplantae; Streptophyta; Magnoliopsida; Malpighiales; Euphorbiaceae.
CCUUUCCUUUAGAGAUAAACAUCCCAGAACUGGUUCGAACUUGGCUGAGCUUACUCUUUCCACUAACAUUAUCCGCCACUGCUGAUCUCUUCAGCUCUGAUUUCGCCAGAGAGAUCAGGUGAUCGCAUUCCAAGUCCGUAAGAAAACCUUCGUACACAAAUGCCCUUGGCUUCCAUGAAACCUGUUUGACUUUAGCAGGGUCAAUAAUGGAACUAGAAGAACCUGGAUAAGAGCUAGAUGUAUGGAGAAUCAAAGAGCUCGAUAGCCAAAAGAGGAGUAGGAGGGGAUUGAUGAUAGCGGCCAUGGGAGCAGGCUAAAGCGGUAUGAUUUCCAGAAACUUUCAGACUUCUUCCAGGAAAAUCCAAUAAUGUUG